This 253-nucleotide ribosomal RNA is filed under the name uncultured bacterium. Its description in RNAcentral is "partial 16S ribosomal RNA". It matches the Rfam family "Bacterial small subunit ribosomal RNA", at positions 524 to 776 of the family's 1533-position model. The record is from RNAcentral.
GACAGAGGUCCCAAGCGUUAGGCGGAAUCACUGGGCUUAAAGCGUGUGUAGGCGGACGCGUAAGUGCUUUGUGAAAUCCCACGGCUCACCCGUGGAACUGCUGGGCAUACUGGCGAUCUUGUGCCACCUAGGGGCGAGCGGAACAGAUGGUGGAGCGGUGAAAUGCGUAGAUAUCAUCUGGAACGCCAAUGGUGAAAACAGCUCGCUGGGGGUGUGCAGACGCUGAGACACGAAAGCCAGGGGAGCGAACGGG